This is a non-coding RNA of Dipodomys ordii (Ord's kangaroo rat), 61 nucleotides long. The record is from Rfam. Lineage: Eukaryota; Metazoa; Chordata; Mammalia; Rodentia; Heteromyidae.
GGCACUGUGGCUCAAGCGGUAGAGCGCUCGACUUGAGCUCAAGAGCUGAGGGACAGUGCCC